Zonotrichia leucophrys gambelii is the source of this 1687-nucleotide long non-coding RNA. RefSeq lists it as uncharacterized. The transcript has 4 exons. Lineage: Eukaryota; Metazoa; Chordata; Aves; Passeriformes; Passerellidae. The record is from RefSeq and is a predicted model, not a curated record.
UACAAAAAAGAAAAUAAAUACCCGAUUUUUGUUAUUGAAACGUUGAAAGUUCCCCUGGGAAGAGCAGGCAGGGUUUGCCCCAGCCGGGGCUGCUCCAGCUGCAGCCAGAGAUGUGCUGAGCCUUCCCAGACAACAAAAGCGCUCUGGCUGCCUGAUUUCCCUCUGCCUUAUCUCCCUCGGCGAUAGCCAGGUUAUCGGGAAAUGGAAAAGGGCUCAGGACAGCCUGACCCCAAUCCCGGGGGACAGGAGAUGGUGGCGGGUGCGGGGGCGAAGCUCUGCAUGGCCGGGGGCUGUCAGCACUCAUGGUCCCAUCCUUUCUCUCCCCCUGACACCUUCCUUGCAUGAAGUGGGGUGGGCAAAACCUCCGUGGGGAGCGGCUUUGGGGCCGGGUGGGCCCGGGGAGCUCCGGUCCCUCCCGGGGCAGGGCUGGGCUGGGCUGGGCUGGGCGGUGGGAGAGCAGCCCCGGCCCCGCGCUUGUCACCCAGACAAGAGAUCAAUAACUAAUUUCACUGCAGCAGCAGCGCCGGGUUUUUUCCAAUAAUUGUGAGCCGGCGGUGGGGAAUGAGGCUCUCAGCACCGCUCCACACCAGCCUGCACCCGAUCAAUCGCCACACCGCUGGGGCAGCAGGAAAACUCAUUUUUCUCCUUUUCUUCCCUCUCCUCCCUUCUCUCCUUCCCGAUCCCACUCCGUUCCCUCCUCCUCCUGCUGUGGCGCUGCCUGAGCUGGGGCUGUGUCCCCAUCCCCUCGCUGGGUGGGAUGUCAGCUUGGGCUGUCCCCAGCUGGCCCCACACGCUGGGGACAAGGGCUGAGCCUCCUGUGCUGCCUCAGCAGCCCGGAGCACUUCGGUCCCUGCCACCCAGGGGCUGGACCCGGCUCCUUGUGCACAGCACCGGCCCCAGCAGCGUGGGUGAAGGUGGCAGAGUGCCUCAGUUUCCCUCUAUAUCUAUAACAGAGGAGUCUGACGACAUCCUUUCCUGCUCCUGCCCUUGCUGUUGUGAGCCACCAUGAGCUCCAAGGCAGAAGGUGUUGCUGGUUCCCAGCUCACAGGAGAACCUUUGGAACCACCCUCACCAGAGACCACAGUGGACAAAAUCAAAUCUUUAAAGGCUCAAGGAGCUCGGCACCAUUAACAUUCACUCCCAACGCGUGUGAGCUGUGCUGCAUCCCCAAGUGCUGCUCCUGCUGCCAGCCCUGGUACCCAGCCUGGCCAUCAGCUUCUCCUUCCAACAGCCUGGCCUGAGAGAGCCCCUCCACCCCCUAAAUCCACACCUGGAGUCCCCUAAAUCUACACCUGGAAUCCCCCACAUCCACACCUGGAAUCCCCCACACCCACACCUGGAAUCCCACAGCUGGAAUCCCCCACAUCCACACCUGGCUGCUGUCACAGCACAGCAAAGGAGGAUGGCAUCCUGAGCUCCAGCUCUGCUCUGCAGAUUAAAGCCAAGGGGCUCUGGGAAGAACACCCAAGGCAGAGGAAUGGCCAAGAGUUACCGGGUUUGGUGAUUUAAGUCAAGCAGAUUGGUGACCUGGGGCUUUCCUGGAGUGACAAUUUGCAGGCUUGCUUUUCAUUAAUAACGGUUAACUAACAAAUUACUGUUGUUAUUAUUACUAUUAUUACUGUUAUUAUCAUUAAUGUUAUUAAAUAUUGCAGGCCAGGCUGCCUUCCCUGUGCUUGGCACAGCCUCA